AUUGAACGCUGGCGGCAGGCCUAACACAUGCAAGUCGAGCGGAAGACGGAACCUUGCUUCUUGAUUCAGCGGCGGACGGGUGAGUAAUGCCUAGGAAUCUGCCUGGUAGUGGGGGACAACGCUGGGAAAGGAACGCUAAUACCGCAUACGUCCUACAGGAGAAAGCAGGGGACCUUCGGGCCUCGCGCUAUCAGAUGAGCCUAGGUCGGAGUAGCUAGUUGGUGGGGUAAUGGCUCACCAAGGCGACGAUCCGUAACUGGUCUGAGAGGAUGAUCAGUCACACUGGAACUGAGACACGGUCCAGACUCCUACGGGAGGCAGCAGUGGGGAAUAUUGGACAAUGGGCGAAAGCCUGAUCCAGCCAUGCCGCGUGUGUGAAGAAGGUCUUCGGAUUGUAAAGCACUUUAAGUUGGGAGGAAGGGCAGUAAGUUAAUACCUUGCUGUUUUGACGUUACCGACAGAAUAAGCACCGGCUAACUCUGUGCCAGCCGCCGCCGUAA
RNAcentral lists this ribosomal RNA (500 nucleotides) under uncultured bacterium. Its description in RNAcentral is "partial 16S ribosomal RNA". It matches the Rfam family "Bacterial small subunit ribosomal RNA", at positions 30 to 523 of the family's 1533-position model. The record is from RNAcentral.